This 426-nucleotide ribosomal RNA is filed under the name Olsenella uli. RNAcentral describes it as "bacterial SSU rRNA". It matches the Rfam family "Bacterial small subunit ribosomal RNA", at positions 28 to 453 of the family's 1533-position model. Lineage: Bacteria; Bacillati; Actinomycetota; Coriobacteriia; Coriobacteriales; Atopobiaceae. The record is from RNAcentral.
GAUGAACGCUGGCGGCGCGCCUAACACAUGCAAGUCGAACGGUUAAAGCCCCUUCGGGGGUGCAUAAAGUGGCGAACGGCUGAGUAACACGUGGGCAACCUGCCCCUCGCACCGGGACAGCCUCGGGAAACCGUGGUUAAUACCGGAUACUCCCGCACCCCCGCAUGGGGGCGCGGGGAAAGCCCAGACGGCGAGGGAUGGGCCCGCGGCCUGUUAGCUCGUUGGCGGGGUAACGGCCCACCAAGGCGAUGAUGGGUAGCCGGGUUGAGAGACCGACCGGCCAGAUUGGGACUGAGACACGGCCCAGACUCCUACGGGAGGCAGCAGUGGGGAAUCUUGCGCAAUGGGCGGAAGCCUGACGCAGCGACGCCGCGUGCGGGAAGGAGGCCUUCGGGUCGUAAACCGCUUUCAGCAGGGACGAGGCCG